AACCAUAGAAACCUGCGGAGUACCUGCGGAAGGAUCAUUACAGAGUUAUCCAACUCCCAAACCCAUGUGAACUUAUCUCUUUGUUGCCUCGGCGCAAGCUACCCGGGACCCAGCGCCCCGGGCGGCCCGCCGGCGGACAAACCAAAACUCUUGUUAUCUUAGUUGAUUAUCUGAGCGUCUUAUUUAAUAAGUCAAAACUUUUAGCAAUGGAUCU
This 214-nucleotide unclassified non-coding RNA is filed under the name soil metagenome. Its description in RNAcentral is "partial contains 5.8S ribosomal RNA, internal transcribed spacer 2, and large subunit ribosomal RNA". The record is from RNAcentral.